AAAAGUUAUUGCGGUUUUGGCU
RNAcentral lists this microRNA (22 nucleotides) under Homo sapiens (human). RNAcentral's name for it is "hsa-miR-548at-5p". Its record names the gene hsa-miR-548at-5p. The record is from miRBase by way of RNAcentral. Lineage: Eukaryota; Metazoa; Chordata; Mammalia; Primates; Hominidae.